This 5728-nucleotide long non-coding RNA is filed under the name Sus scrofa (pig). RNAcentral's name for it is "lncRNA (ENSSSCG00025069478.1)". The record is from RNAcentral. Lineage: Eukaryota; Metazoa; Chordata; Mammalia; Artiodactyla; Suidae.
GCAUCCUUUCACAAGGAAUGAUUAUGAUUUUAAUAAAGCACUUAGGAUUCUGCAGAUGCAAAUGGAAGAAUGUUUCUACUUGAUUGAUAAAGCAUGCAUACACUUUCAGAAUAACGUCCUACCAGUCACGGUGAUAUCCUAACUUUGUGUGUGGGCAGCCUCUGGGGUGCAGCAAGAUGCCCUGGAAUUAGGAGGCAUAGCUGUUUCUGCUAAACUCGCCUUGCACAGAGCUGUCUGCAGGUGGGCCGUCAACAAAAGCUGCCAGUCUUAGCAUCCAGAGAUGUGGCUGUGAUCAGUCAUCAUGUUAUUAAAUUAUUCCUCUCAUCUGAAGGGACCACAAUUUCAACAUAGGCUUCUCUUGAUAGAUGUACAAUUCAUAUAGACUAUUGGAACUAUAUUCGGGGCAUGCUGUGAUUUCAUUUGCCGUGCCACUUAUAGUGGAAAAAAAUAUGCCACACUUUUUUUCUAACCAAACAGGCUUCUUUUCACAGUAGACAGAGAAUACCGUUAAACAGAGGAAACACAGUAUCCCUUUUCAUAGCAAGAGAUCAAAUGUCUGCAGAAGAGUUUAAUUUAUACUUCUCCGUGCGCCAGAGCCCAGUCUGAGACAUAGCAGCGUUUCAGUGCUUUCAAUCAGGUCAUAGUUUCCAUCCUGGAUGACUUCAUCCCUUUUAAAAUAGAAUAAAUGGAAUUCCACAUUAUACUAUGGGUAGGGAUUAUAGGAAAUUAAAAGACGUAUAGUGCCCAACACACUAAAUAAUUGUGACAUUGAGCUGGGAACAUAACACUUAGGCAGCAAGUUCUUCUUGGGUGUUAUUUGUUGAAGAAAUGUUGCUCCAGCUUUCCUGAAGAGCGGAAGAGAAGUAUAGCCAUGUGGGUUAGAAAGUAAAAUCUAUGCUGUGCUUGCUCUAAGUCUUCCCUUUUCAAAAUCCAUAUAAGCAUUAGUUUAGAUCAGAGGUGUGACUUGAUUUCAUCGUCCACCAGCCCCCCUGUCAGACACUCUCUGGAUUUAGUUCUCUGGUUUCCAUGUGUCGGCAAUGUGGAUUGUAGUUCAGCAGCUUGCUUGGGUUGCAUGCAGUUAGAGAUGGUGGGAGGAAUCCAAUUCAGCCCAAAGAAGGUGCUGAAGUUAAAAUAUGAGAGCAUGGUCUAUGAACACCCUAAAAUGAAUCAUCCUACAGGAGAUGAAUUGUUGGAAAAACCCGAGAUCUUUUAUUGGUCGGCAUAGAAGUUGCCUAGGAGAAGAAAGCUGGGAUGGUCAAAAGUGAGAAGGCAGUUGUUGAUUCUCCUUUGGAAGAUCUUUUCUUUGCAAUGUACUUUGGGGCCCAUUUUUGACUGUAUUUUGCAUAGUUUUUUAAGUGAAACAAUUUGAUGGCUUUCCAGAACAAAUGAAUACCCUCUAGACCUGCCUGCAAUGGGUAUAUUACACAUGAGCUUUCUGUUGACGAGCAAUGAAAUGACAAUAUUUCCAUUCUGCUGCACUCUCUUUACCAUUGCGUUGGCGGUAUUAAAUGGUUGCGGUGUUGAGGUUUUGUGCACAUUUUACUAGGAGCCCAAUGAGCAGGCUUUCCCUUUGGGACAAUUACAGCUUGAAAACUGGGGAUUCUGAGCGAGGGAGUAUCAAUCCCUGGCAGCUGAGCCAGCAGAAUUGAAUCACAUAAUCUAUUUGUAAUCUAUCCCUAGGAAUUCAUGUUUGCUUUGAAUCUGCCUACUGGACAGGCCACAAGGAGAUAGAAAUGACUUAACAGUGGUUUCUAGUGCCUAGAGCUGAGGGUGUGCUCUGUUUCUGUUCACACAUAAUCAACAAACAAAGAGGGAGGGGGCAGCCCCUCAGAAGCUCUCUCUGGAGAUGUACAGGUGGGAGUUUUUAAAUCUUGACACACCGAUAAGAUUUCAGCAUGGCUUCAAAGCGUGUUCCAAAAAAAUGACUUAACGCCAGGCUUGCUUUGAAAAUUCUAAUCUGUUGCUACAACAGUGCAAACCAAGUUCUCCUUUGUGCGCUUGAGUAAACACAUUCCUCAUCACCAUCAAAGAUUGUGGCCAGAAGAGGGAAGGACCGGCCUUUGUGAUUCAAGGGUCCUCCACAAGUAUUCUGUGCAUAUUUGUGGGAACAGUCAUAUCUUUCAAAGAACAACCCAAACCAAAUACUUCUGGUAAUCUCUGGGCUUUUAAUGUGUGACUAAGCAGGGUAAUGGGUUCAGCCAUUGUUAUUCAGAGCCUUUCUGUGACAGUAGGACUGGAUCAAUAGCCACACUGGCUCUUCUGGGCCACCUGCUUAUAGAAGGAGUUCAGAAUAUUGGAGAAAUAAGCAUUACACCAACAGAUAGGGAAACUGAAGCAAUGAAAAGCUCUUGACCUGGUCAAAGUCAAUAGGACUGGUCAAUAGGGGAGCGGAGAGCAGAGAACUUGCAUUGCCGAGCUCUCUGCUAUGACAUUAUUGACAGAAUCUGAUGCCUUUGAGUUGGUGAAAACGGUGAUCAGGGCGAGUCUUGAGGCCACAGAGUCUGAUGUGCUUCACUGCAGAGAAACAGUCUCUCCAUUUACCCAAAUUACAGCCAGUCCUACUCUCUGUGAAAGUUUGAAACAGGAAAAAAUGAGCCCCAGUCUGGUUAGUCACUUUGACAUUAUUCUUAAACAUGGGAAGCAAAUUUAAAAUGGCUGGGUGACAGAAAUGGUGUUGGAAAAACAGAAGCAAUAGAAUGUGUGUGGGGGGGUAGGGAGAGAGACAGAGAUAGAGAGAAGAGAGAGAGACAGAGAGAGAGAGAGACAGAUUUAAGAAACUAUUUCCUGUGAUCACAGAGGCUGUUAAGUCCAAAGUUAGCAGUGUGGGCCAGCUUGCUGGAGACCCAGGGAGGAGGUGAUGCUGCAAGGUGAGCCCAAAGGUAGUCUGCUGUCAGAAUUCCCUCUUUGGGGAAGGUCUGUCUUUUUCUUGUAAGGCCUUAACUGGUUGGAUAAGGCCAUUCCCAUUAUGGAAGGCAAUCUGCUUUACUCAAAAUCUACUGAGUUAUUUCUUUUUUUUUUUUUGUCUUUUGUCUUUUGUUGUUGUUGUUGUUGUUGUUGCUAUUUCUUGGGCCACUCCCGCGGCAUAUGGAGGUUCCCAGGCUAGGGGUUGAAUCGGAGCUGUAGCCACCGGCCUACGCCAGAGCCACAGCAACGUGGGAUCCGAGCCGUGUCUGCAACCUACACCACAGCUCACGGCAACGCCAGAUCGUUAACCCACUGAGCAAGGGCAGGGAUCGAACCCACAACCUCAUGGUUCCUAGUCGGAUUCGUUAACCACUGCGCCAUGACGGGAACUCCUAUUUCUUAUUUUUUUAUUUAAAAAGAUUUUAUGGGAGUAUAGUUGACUUACAAUGUUGUGUUAGUUUCAGAUGUACAGUAAAGUGAAUUAGUUACAUAUAUACAUAUUUCCAUUCUUUUUCCCCCAUAGGUUAUUCCAGACUAUUGAGUAGAUUUCCCUGUACUAUACAGUAGGUCCUUGUUAAUUAUCUAUUUUACAUACAAAGGUGUAUGUAUGUUAUUCCCAUCCCCCUAAAAAUCUACUGAUUUAAUUAUUUCAUCUUUUUUUGUUGUUUUUGUUUUGUUUUGCUUUGUUUUUGUUUUUUUACAGCCACACCUAUGGCAUGUGGAAUUUCCUGGGCCAGGGAUCAAAUCAGAGCUGCAGCUGCCGGCCUACAUCACAGCCACAGCAACACCUGAUCCAAGCCACAUCUGCAAGUCUCCGCUGUAACUUGUGGCAAUAUCAGACCUUAACCCACUGAGCAAGGCCAGGGAUCAAACCCACAUCCUCAUGGACACUAUGUUGGGUCUAACCCACUGAGCCUCACGGGAACUCUGUGUUUCUCUCAUCUUGAAAAAUCAUCACAGAAACAUUUAGACUAAUGUUUGGCCACAUAUCUGGGUACCACAGCCCAACCAAGCUAGUAUAAAAUUAACAAUAAUAGACACCAAGUAGGGUACUUACUGAGAUGGGAAACUACCCUGGAGUGCUGGGUGCUGGAGAAAGGGCUGCAGUUAUAGCAUUCAAUCUCAUCACAUAGGACAUGACAAAUAUAUUCUCUGCUGGAAACGAGUACUUUUCCUUUUUUUAAAAUUUUUAUUUAUGGUGAGACAUUUUCUGAAAGUCAUUUAGAAUAAAUUUCAUCCUCAAAAGAAAAUAGUAUCCUGGGAAGAAGGAAUGCUGGAAAGUCAUCACCAGAGAAUGAUGACACUCUCUUGUAUAGCAUGCAAAUAUGUGUAUAAAGCAUUGGCUCAACUUUGAAGUAAGUCACAACCAAAUGAAACUAGAGCAGUGAGAAAGUAAAUAUGCAGACAUAUAUACAAAUCCAUAAUUGAGCUCUUGUUAUAUAAUGUGACACAUUAUCAAGUUUGGGUUAAUCACUCAUUUUGAUAAGGUUGGUAAAGUUGUAAACACUUUUUUAGUGGAAUAGGUAGAAAGAGGAACUUUGGAGAUCAUUGUUUUAACAAACCUCACAGGUAGAGAAGUGAGAGUAUCAUUAAGUAUAUGUUAUCUCUAUAUCACCUUUCAAUCAAAAGGUAUGUAUGCCACAGCCUAUCUUGUUCUGUAUGGGUAUGUAUGCUAACACAGAUGUGUGCUUUUCUCUUUCUCUCUUACAUAUACAUGUCUGUCUGUCUGUCUAUCUAUCUAUCUAUCUAUCUAUCUAUCUUCUAUCUACAAAUGCAUGAGAAUAUGAAUUUGAUUUCUAUUGUGAUAAUACUAAUCAAUGAUUUUUUUUAAAUUUUUUAUUACUCAAAUGAAUUUAUCACAUCUGUAGUUGUAUAAUGAUCAUAACAAUCUGAUUUCACAGGAUUUCCAUCCCACAGCCCAGGCACAUCCCCCCACCCCCAAACUGUCUCCUCUGGAGACCAUAAGUUUUUCAAUGUCUGUGAGUCAGCAUCUGUUCUGCAAAGAAGUUCAGUCUGUCCUUUUUUCAGAUUCCACACGUCAGUGAAAGCAUUGGAUGUUGUGUCUCAUUGUAUGGAUGACUUCACUUACUAAUCAAUGAUUUUUGAGUACCUACUAUGUGCUAGGCCCUGUGUUAAUCUCCAGGAAUAUAAUAAAGAACAUAAUGAUCAUGAUUUAUCUUAUGUGCAAAUUGGAGCGUAUAUUCUGCUGAAGGAGAAAGACACAAACAGUAAACAAGAUUAAGUAAAAUAGUUAUAGUUAGCAUUUGAAUGUUAUGAAAUUAAGGAAAAUAUGUUUAAGAUAGGAAAUAAGGAGACCUACUUAAUUUUAAAAAUGUAUUUAGUUAUAUAUUUUUUAAAUGUAUUUAUAUAUUUUAAAAAUUGAAAUAUAAUUGAUUUGCAGUGUUUCAGGUGCAUAGAAGAGUGAUUCAGUUACACAUACAUAUAUAUAGUAUAUAUCCUUUUUCAUAUUCUUUUCAAUAUCUUUCAGAAGAUAUUGAAUAUAGUUUCCUAUGCUAUACAGUAAGUCCUCGUUGUUUAUCUAUUUUAAACUAUUAUGAGUAUUAAUCCCAAAGUUCUAAUUUAUCUCCCCCUCAACCCUCAAUCCCUGCUAUACACUCUGGUAACCAUACGUUUGUCUUCUCUGUUUGUGAGUCUAUUUCUGUUUUGUAAAUAGGGUCAUUUGUACCAUUUUUUUUUUAGAUUCCACAUGUAAGUGAUAUAAUGAAGAUAUGGUACACAUACACAAUGGAAUAUUACUCAGCCAUGAGUAAUUGCCAUUUGCAGCAAGGUGGAUGGACCUAGAGGUUAUCAUACUAAGAGAAGU